GCAUCAGUAUCCAAGUGGCUGAAGGAACAGGUCUGCAACGCCUGUUUGCGCAGGUUCAAAUCCUGCCUGAUGCUCCA
This 77-nucleotide transfer RNA is filed under the name Erysipelotrichaceae bacterium. RNAcentral describes it as "tRNA-Cys". It matches the Rfam family "tRNA". Rfam says of the family: Transfer RNA (tRNA) molecules are approximately 80 nucleotides in length. Their secondary structure includes four short double-helical elements and three loops (D, anti-codon, and T loops). The record is from RNAcentral. Lineage: Bacteria; Bacillati; Bacillota; Erysipelotrichia; Erysipelotrichales; Erysipelotrichaceae.